Molecule: ribosomal RNA, 429 nt
Filed under: Chloroflexota bacterium
Lineage: Bacteria; Bacillati; Chloroflexota
Description: Chloroflexi bacterium partial 16S ribosomal RNA
Rfam family: Bacterial small subunit ribosomal RNA
Source: RNAcentral
UGGGGAAUAUUGCGCAAUGGGCGCAAGCCUGAUGCAGCCAUGCCGCGUGUGUGAAGAAGGCCUUCGGGUUGUAAAGCACUUUCAGCGGGGAGGAAGGCGAUAAGGUUAAUAACCUUGUCGAUUGACGUUACCCGCAGAAGAAGCACCGGCUAACUCCGUGCCAGCAGCCGCGGUAAUACGGAGGGUGCAAGCGUUAAUCGGAAUUACUGGGCGUAAAGCGCACGCAGGCGGUCUGUCAAGUCGGAUGUGAAAUCCCCGGGCUCAACCUGGGAACUGCAUUCGAAACUGGCAGGCUAGAGUCUUGUAGAGGGGGGUAGAAUUCCAGGUGUAGCGGUGAAAUGCGUAGAGAUCUGGAGGAAUACCGGUGGCGAAGGCGGCCCCCUGGACAAAGACUGACGCUCAGGUGCGAAAGCGUGGGGAGCAAACAGG